Non-coding RNA from Acanthosepion pharaonis, 103 nucleotides. The record is from the annotation of a GenBank genome assembly. NCBI's taxonomy places the organism in Eukaryota, Metazoa, Mollusca, Cephalopoda, Sepiida, Sepiidae.
UUACGACCACAUCAUGUUGAAAAACCGGUUCCUGUACGAUCACCGAAGUUAAGCAACGUCGAGCUUGAUUACUAACGAAAUGGGUGACCGCUUGGGAAUACCA